Molecule: long non-coding RNA, 5202 nt
Filed under: Sus scrofa (pig)
Lineage: Eukaryota; Metazoa; Chordata; Mammalia; Artiodactyla; Suidae
Description: lncRNA (ENSSSCG00050029230.1)
Source: RNAcentral
CACUGGGCUUUGUGCUAGGAAUACACAGGAGAACGAAUUGAGUGAAUCAUGGGGCCCACUUCAUGAAAUCUACAGCUUGGUGAGGUAGACCAUUAAAAAAAUAAACAUGCCAAUAAGUAUUGGUUGUGCAUAACUGCUAAGAAACAAAAGGACAGGGUGCUCUGAGAAAGCCCAGGAUUCACAGAAGUAACCACUCUUCAUAAGCCAGCUCAAAUGGCAGCAGCUCCAUGAAACCUGUCCUUAUCCCUCCCAUUUGCUCCCAGUUAUAUGGUCUUUCUCCUUCAUUCUAACUAUAUAUCACAAAUUUACUUUUAUUAUGGCAUUUGUUUUACUCUUGUUUAUUUUUACUCAUAAGGAUAGCUAAUGAUGACAGCUAUUAUCAGGGAUUCUUACGGGUUUAACUUAAGCCUUUGUCUAAUUCUUGCCAUCUGGACCAAGAACUUCUGAAGGUAGGCUCUAUGUCUUACCCACCUCUGUUGUACCUGUAGAUCUAGCAGAAUUCCUGGCACAAAUUAAGGGCUCCAGGAAUAUUUGUAGAAUAGAAAGAAAUUGCACUAUCUUUUUUGACUCCUGCAUAUGAAAAUUUUACCCUAAUUCAAAUGACUCUCUCUAAUCUUUACACAUUAGGCUAUUUCUUUAGUUAGUGAAUUGUCAUACAUCAACUCCUUUAACAUAUUAUGGAUGAUGAAUAAUUCAAAGCAUGUUAUAAGAGUCAGGGUUUUAAUCAUUAAAAAGCUUUAACAUUCUAUGGCAAGAGGGAUAUUCUUGGAAGAAUCCCAGACUAAAAUCCCUUAACCAACAUCUAAAGACAUUCUGUUUUGUGCAAUAUUUGGAAGUGCCUUCCCAAUGCAAAAUUCUGCUCUUGCUUUUCCCAUGAUCUUGUCAAAAAGAAUAGUCAUCAGUUCUUAUAACAGAAAGCAUCCUAAUGCCUCUUUCUGGCAGUCUAAUCCCUUUACGGAAAGGAAAACAUUUAUGUUUUUACCCAGGUUGAAAGGAAAUAAUACAGUAAAGAAUAUGUAUCAGCUCACAUACCUAAAAAACCCAGAGAUAGGGAUGUUUUAGUUGAGGUUUGAUCCAAUGCCUCAAGGAUAUCGAAAAGACCUGGGUUCUUUCCAUCUCUGUGUCAGCUUCAUCCUAAGGCUGGCUCUGUUCCUAGUUCCAAGAUGGCUGCUCACAGCUCCCGGGCCAUAUGCUUUCCUUCUGUGUCAAAGAGAGCAACUUUGUUCCAGCAUUCCCAGAAAACCCCAUAUAAUGACUGUGUGGUCUGCUGAGUUCACACAUCGACACUUGGGUUCAAUUACUGCAGUCAAAAGGAUGGGAUGUGAUGUUUGGUUUGGUCCAUUCUACCCCUCAAUGGAAGGCAGUGAAGUAAGCUUCCUUCAAAAUCACAUGGAUCCCCAAAGGAAACUGAUGACUGUUGGGAAGGGGGAAGGGUGACAUGGAUGCUGGCAAAGCAUCUAACACAUGUUGACUAAAUAAGGUCCCAGCCUUGGUCUAUGAAGCCAGCCUAUUCAGGAGGAUAGGACUAUUCAUUCACAUCAGAAAGAAAAAAAGGAAAGGCAUGAACUGCUUCUCUCUCUCCUGAAAAUGGCAUCAUACUCUGGGGGAAAAAAAGACCUUUGCUUUUGUAUUGGCUUUGUUUAGGGAUGGUGUUAUGGUCUAAUAUAAUCAGUACUUUUGAAUAAAAUUAUUCCUGUUCUAAAUUGUUAAAGUCAUUAUGGACAAGUGAGAGCCAAGUAACAAUAUGUACCCCAUCACCACCCACAUACACUUUUUCUUCUUUCUUCCCUGUCCUUUCUCUCCAUUUCCUCUCCCUCUAUCCCCUUUCAUUUUUCCUUCCCUCCCUGGAAUUCUCCUUACCCUCUGUCUUUGAUCUCUUUCCUCUCAUGUUUUUCUCUCAUCCUCUCUCUCUAAGUGGGUCCCAAUAGGUGGAUUAACUUAGCAGGAGAAACCCAGUUCUGGUUUUCUUUACAGUAUCAUGGAACAAAGUGUGAAAGCGGUACCAAUGGUUUAGGGCUGUCUUGGGGAGAGCUACCCCAACUUCUCUGUGGCCUGCAAACUUUGUCAGAGGAUAAAGUCUCAGCCAUCUGGUAAGAAAUACACUGAUAUCACCAAAAGGUCCUGCAUUAGCUAUUAAGGGAGAGAAACUGCAACUCGUUUAAUAGUGGAAUCUAUGAUCUGACUCUUUUCUCCCCAAUUCUCACAUCACCCUUGAGUGCUAAGAAGCAGAUUAGUUUUUUCAGUACCAUUUCAGAGUCUUGAAGGACCAGUAAGCACAGGCAUGAACAGUGUGACAGAAUGACCAGAUUUUUAGGCUUAGUGUAUAACAGUCUUUACUUCUGGCUGAUUUUUCCUACUCAGAUAUAAUUCAGAGUAGCAUGAAAUCUCUUUUCCAAAUAACUUCAUUCAUCAACCAUUAGCAUUAUCAAGAACAACGACUCACAAGCAAGAGACAAUAACAUUAACAUAAAAUAUAGGAACCUUCAUUUUUUCUUCUUUGGCUGCAUCUGGUGCAUAUGGAAGUUUCCAGGGUAGGGGUCAAAUAAGAGCUGCGGCUGCUGCCUACACCACAGCCACGGUAGCACAUGAUUCGAGCUGCAUCUACAACCUGCACUGAAGCUUGUGGCAACACCAGAUCUUUAACCCACUGAGGCCAGGGAUUGAACCUGCAUGCUCACAGAGAGUAUAUCGGUUCCUUAUCCCAUUGAGCCACAACAGGAACUCCAAAUGAAGGAACUUUUGCUUAUAAAAUAAAAGCACCAUGCUUUGAGAUCAGUCUAAGCCAAAUAUUGUCCUCAAAUACAUAAGUUCACUGCAUGUAUUUUUAGGGAAGCUUAUACCACAAAAAAAAAGUUUUAUUUACAAUUUUAAAAUAGCUAUUUGUAUUUAUCAAAAUACUCUUUUUUGGGAGAUAACAGAUGGUUAAAAUGGAAGUUCUUGUAAGAUAUAUAGCAUGAAAGUUUUGACCAACAUUUUCUAAUUAGAGCACAAUUACUAACAGUAAAAGAAGAAAAUCCUGUCUCUAGAGAGGUAAUUUAAUACCUAGAGCUUGCUUACAAAAGAUGGAAGACUAAUAAAGCUUUAUGUUGCAUCUAUAUCUAAUUUUAAUAGUUGUUCUCAUGAUGACAGACAACUGUACUAUUUUCUGGUGGUGAAAGAUUUGCACAUAACCAUCAUUUAAUUUUGUUCAAAGUCCUUUGUUAUUCUGGACAGCCAGUGAGGUACGUGGACAUUUGUCCUAAUGCAAGGAUCAAUACUGGAGUUCAGUCAACAUCCAACAAACAUGCAUUGAGUGCCUGCUCACUUGACAACAUAUUCUAUAGAUGGUACUGAGCCUAGUUUCCUUCCUUUGGGAUCUCACAGUCUCAUGAAGACACAGACAUUUAUUUAAAUAAUUAAACUACAUAUUGUAGGUAUGUGCAGUGCACAGUGGGAAUAGAAAAAGGGAAUUAAGGUUCUGUGAUGGAAUCUGGAAAAUGUCAUUGAGGAGGUAGCUUUUAAGAUGGAACUUGAAGAAUAAGUAAGAAGAAAGAUAAGUAAAGAAGGCAGUUACUCCAGUCUCAAUAAUAUCACAUGCUAAGAUAAGGUACAGUUUGGCCUACUUAAGAAAUACAGUUAUUGUUGCUGGAACAUAAAAUAGGAGAGCAGCAUAGAAGAGGAGGCAUGAUUGGAAUUCUGUAGACCAAUCACAAAGUUCAUUUAUGCCAUGCUAAAAACAUGUCUUAAGAAUGUAGUUUUUAUUCCACAGAUCAUAUAAGUCAAUUGAAGGAUUUCAAAUAACAUGAUCAGCUUUUUAUUUAGAAAAUGUUUAGUUUAAAUUGGGAGAGGACACACUUAGAAGCAGAAAAAUACAAUCAUUGAGUACUGCAAAGAGCUAGGCAAUGGCUACUGAAGAGCUGAACCAUAACAGAGGUACUGAAGCUGGAAAAGAGAAGAAAAAGAAAAGAUACAUUUAGAAAAUAGAAUCACCCAUAACUACUGAUAGAUUAGAUGUGAGCACAAGGGAAAGAAAAAAAUCCUUAAAUAACAAUUUUAAAAUAACUCUUAGGAUUUUUGCUUGAGCAAUGGGGUCAAUAGAUAUUGAUGCCACUCAUUAUAACAAGGAAAAUGGGAGAAGCAGCAAGUUUUGGGAGGUAGUUAGUAAUUUGGGGACAUUUUCAGCUUGAGAUCCUUUGGAGAUAUUCAAGCGGUGGUAUCUGGUUGGCUAGACUGUUCUUUCUAGACUCUAAAAUAAGUCAGAGCUAAAGAUAUCAAUGAGGCUAUGAAUGUGAUGACAGAAGAAGAGUAGGAGACACCAAUGGAGUGCUCCACCUAUUAAAGGUCAGGAAGAGGGACAAGGACAUACAAAGAAACCAGAAGAAACUUGCUCAGAUAACUAGGAAGAAAGCCAGUGAAGAGUGCAAUCAUGGAAAACCAGGGAAGAGAAAUAUUUUAUUUAUAUCCUUGUAUUGUUUCACAUUUUUAGCAAGCAUGUCCCAUAUUUCUUUUGUCAUAUGAUAAUAUUAAAUAAAAACACUGAGUUAAAAAAGUGAAAAACUCAAUAAAAAGAUAACACAAUUAAAAAAUAGGCAAAUAACUUGACUAUAUAUUUCCCCCAAAAGAUAUAUGAGUGGCCAAUAAGCACACGAAAAGAUGCUUGAUAGCAUUGUUAAUUAGGGAAACACAGAUCAAACCUGCAAUAAGCACUACUUUACUCUUACUUGAAUGGCCAAUAGCCAAAGGUGGAAGCAACCCAAAAGCCCACCAACAGAUGAAUGGAUAAACAAAAUGUGGUAUAUCCAUACAAUGGAGUAUUACUCAGCUAUCAAAAGGAUACAUGCUGCAACAAAAUGAACCUUGAAAACAUGAUGCUCUGUGAAAGAAGCUUAUCACAAAAGGUCAUGUAUUACAGACAAUAGGUGGAUUAGGAAAACACCUAGAGAUUAGUGGUUGCCAGGGGCUGUUUAAGAGUGGUGAGUAACUGCUUGAUGGGUAUAGCAUUUCCAUCUAUGAUGAUGAAAAAGGACUGGAACUAGAUAAUGGUGAUGUUUUAACAACAUCAUGAAUGUAUUUCAUGCCACUGACAUUCACUCUUUAAAAUGGCUUAUGGAGUUCCCUGGUGGCUCAUCAGGUUAAGGGUCUGGUGGUGUCAUGGUUGUGGCUCAGGUUGCAAAUGUGGCACAGGUUCAAUUCCUGGCCCAGGAACUUCUGCAUGCUGCAGGU